This 484-nucleotide ribosomal RNA is filed under the name uncultured bacterium. RNAcentral's name for it is "partial 16S ribosomal RNA". It matches the Rfam family "Bacterial small subunit ribosomal RNA", at positions 28 to 523 of the family's 1533-position model. The record is from RNAcentral.
GAUGAACGCUGGCGGCGUGCUUAACACAUGCAAGUCGAACGGGAUCCGUCAAGCUUGCUUGGCGGUGAGAGUGGCGAACGGGUGAGUAAUGCGUGACCAACCUGCCCCAUGCUUCGGAAUAGCUCCUGGAAACGGGUGGUAAUGCCGGAUGCUCCGCACUGUCGCAUGAGGGUGUGGGAAAGGGUUUACCGGCAUGGGAUGGGGUCGCGUCCUAUCAGCUUGUUGGCGGGGUGAUGGCCUGCCAAGGCUUCGACGGGUAGCCGGCCUGAGAGGGCGACCGGCCACAUUGGGACUGAGAUACUGCCCAGACUCCUACGGGAGGCAGCAGUGGGGAAUAUUGCACAAUGGGCGCAAGCCUGAUGCAGCGACGCCGCGUGCGGGAUGACGGCCUUCGGGUUGUAAACCGCUUUUGAUUGGGAGCAAGCGGGAGUGAGUGUACCUUUCGAAUAAGCACCGGCUAACUACGUGCCAGCAGCCGCCGUAA